Molecule: long non-coding RNA, 1282 nt
Filed under: Felis catus (domestic cat)
Lineage: Eukaryota; Metazoa; Chordata; Mammalia; Carnivora; Felidae
Description: lncRNA (ENSFCAG00000041961.2)
Source: RNAcentral
CUUCAGUCGUGUGUCCCCACGCCAGCCACUGUGAUGAGCUGGGACACAAGGGUAGUCUGGACACAGUCCUUUUCCACCAGGGGCAUCUGGCCAUGUGGGAAUUCAGACCCGCAGGCAGUUACUGGGCAGAGCACUAUGGCUGCUGCUCCCCGGGGGGGGGUAGGUGGCAAUACAGAGGGUGAGGGACGAUGCUAUUUGGAGGAACCAGGUGGAUCCACCGGGCGUGUUCCCCUGUGCUGCGUGUCUUCACAUAGGACGCUUGAGGCCAUGUGGUCACCGUGAAGACUAAAUCCACCCACGGAAGAUGGUGGACCAGAGAGUGAGAAGCAGCGUAGGCCCAUGAUGACACUGUAGAGCGGCCGUCCCAACCUUGGACUGAAGAGCCCCAGACUUCUAGCAAUGUGAGGAAGACAGUCCUCUGUGUGUUUCAGUUUCUCUUGGUCAGGUCUCUGUUAUUCAUGGCUAAAAACAUUUCUAACUGAUCCUGCCUCUCCCCCAUAAAUUGUGUAUUGGGACAGCUCAGGACGGGGGACAGAUUAGGCAAACCUUCAUGGAACACAGGUUGAAUAUAAAGAAAUGUUUUUUUCUCCCCUCUCACUUCCUUUUCUGAAAUGGUUGCUUGACAUGUGUUUGUUACGACAGAAGGGAUCGUGUUCAGAAAACAGAAUGCUUUUCUUCUUUGCUAUAAUUUUGAUGAUUUCUUCACGCGUAAGGUUUUUUCCUGUUUCUCUCCAUUUGGCAAAAAUUAAAGAUGACAUCUUCCUUAGAGAUCAGCAGCUGGUUGCUCCAUUUAUGACAAAAAUCAUUUAAAGAUGAAAAUUGUGAAGUUAUUUUAUCUGACAUAAUUCUAUUUGCUGAACGAACUUAAAUCAAACUGUUCUGGUCCUAAGUGAACAAGGUUACCUACAGCUUUAAAGGUUAUUGAAUUAAAAAAAAAACAUUUAAAUUAUCCUUAGAGAUCUAUAGAUUAAAAGAGACUUUGUGGAAAUAUUGACCGGUUGCAAUUUAUGGACCUUAUUUGGAUACUGACUUGAACAAAUAAUGUGUUCAACAAAUUUAUGAAACCCUGCAACAAUAGGGGAAUGUUAGUGGUUUUUAUGGAAUUACCAUUAUUUUUAGGUGUGGUGGUAAUAUUGUGGUGAUAUUUUGAAGUCUUUAUCUUUUAGAGAUAUCUACUGAACUAUUUAUAGACAAAACGUCUUGGAUUUGUCCAUGAGUUCAUAACAUGGCCAUGAGGUUCCUUGUUGAUUCUGGGUGAUGAGGUUCAUUGUCCCAGUCUCUC